CCCUUAGAUGUUCUGGGCCGCACGCGCGCUACACUGAUGCAUGCAACAAGUCUUUUCCUUGGCCGAAAGGCCUGGGCAAUCUUUGAAUAUGCAUCGUGAUGGGGAUAGACGAUUGCAAUUAUUCGUCUUCAACGAGGAAUUCCUAGUAAACGCAAGUCAUCAGCUUGCAUUGAUUACGUCCCUGCCCUUUGUACACACCGCCCGUCGCACCUACCGAUUGAAUGGUCCGGUGAAGGCUUCGGAGGCGGCUUUCUCAAUGUUUAUUCGGCGAGACUGCUGCCAAAGUUGAAUGAACCUUACCAUUUAGAGGAAGGUGAAGUCGUANCA
This 327-nucleotide ribosomal RNA is filed under the name uncultured eukaryote. Its description in RNAcentral is "partial 18S ribosomal RNA". It matches the Rfam family "Eukaryotic small subunit ribosomal RNA", at positions 1470 to 1796 of the family's 1831-position model. The record is from RNAcentral.